RNAcentral lists this ribosomal RNA (305 nucleotides) under uncultured bacterium. RNAcentral's name for it is "bacterial SSU rRNA". It matches the Rfam family "Bacterial small subunit ribosomal RNA", at positions 334 to 653 of the family's 1533-position model. The record is from RNAcentral.
UUCCCCUACGGGACGCAGCAGUGGGGAAUAUUGGGCAAUGGGCGCAAGCCUGACCCAGCAACGCCGCGUGAAGGAAGAAGGCUUUCGGGUUGUAAACUUCUUUUCUCAGGGACGAAGAAAGUGACGGUACCUGAGGAAUAAGCCACGGCUAACUACGUGCCAGCAGCCGCGGUAAUACGUAGGUGGCAAGCGUUAUCCGGAUUUACUGGGUGUAAAGGGAGCGCAGGCGGGACUGCCAGUUGGAUGUGAAAUACCGCAGCUUAACUGCGGAGCUUCAUCCAAACCUGCAGUUCUUUAGUGGAGAA